Molecule: ribosomal RNA, 253 nt
Filed under: uncultured bacterium
Lineage: Bacteria
Description: partial 16S ribosomal RNA
Rfam family: Bacterial small subunit ribosomal RNA
Source: RNAcentral
UACGUAGGGGGCAAGCGUUGUCCGGAUUUAUUGGGCGUAAAGCGCUCGCAGGCGGCUCGAUGCGUCGUGCGUGAAACACCCCGGCUCAACUGGGGAGGGUCGUGCGAUACGGUCGGGCUGGAGGCCAGUAGGGGGAUGCGGAAUUCCGGGUGUAGUGGUGGAAUGCGUAGAGAUCCGGAGGAACACCAGCGGCGAAGGCGGCAUCCUGGACUGGUACUGACGCUCAUGAGCGAAAGCUAGGGGAGCGAAUGGG